Molecule: ribosomal RNA, 690 nt
Filed under: uncultured Microlunatus sp.
Lineage: Bacteria; Bacillati; Actinomycetota; Actinomycetes; Propionibacteriales; Propionibacteriaceae
Description: bacterial SSU rRNA
Rfam family: Bacterial small subunit ribosomal RNA
Source: RNAcentral
UACCAUGCAAGUCGAACGGUAAGGCUCCUUCGGGAGUACACGAGUGGCGAACGGGUGAGUAACACGUGAGCAACCUGCCCUUGACUCUGGAAUAACAGCUGGAAACAGCUGCUAAUACCGGAUAUGACCUCAUCCGACAUCUGAUGAGGUGGAAAGUUCUGGCGGUCAAGGAUGGGCUCGCGGCCUAUCAGCUUGUUGGUGAGGUAACGGCUCACCAAGGCUUCGACGGGUAGCCGGCCUGAGAGGGCGACCGGCCACACUGGGACUGAGAUACGGCCCACACUCCUACGGGAGGCAGCAGUGGGGAAUAUUGCACAAUGGGCGAAAGCCUGAUGCAGCAACGCCGCGUGCGGGAUGACGGCCUUCGGGUUGUAAACCGCUUUCAGCUAGGACGAAGCGCAAGUGACGGUACUAGCAGAAAAAGGACCGGCCAACUACGUGCCAGCAGCCGCGGUGAUACGUAGGGUCCGAGCGUUGUCCGGAAUUAUUGGGCGUAAAGGGCUUGUAGGCGGUUUGUCGCGUCAGAAGUGAAAACUCAGGGCUUAACCCUGAGCCUGCUUCCGAUACGGGCAAACUAGAGGGAUGCAGGGGAGAACGGAAUUCCUGGUGGAGCGGUGGAAUGCGCAGAUAUCAAGAAGAACACCGGUGGCGAACGCGGUUCUCUGGGCAUUUCCUGACUCUGAGAAGCGA